AAUCCGACUGUCUAAUUAAAACAAAGCAUUGCGAUGGCCCCAGCGGGUGGUGACGCAGUGUGAUUUCUGCCCAGUGCUUUGAAUGUCAACGUGAAGAAAUUCAAGCAAGCGCGGGUAAACGGCGGGAGUAACUAUGACUCUAAUUGAGUUGCGAGUUGCUCCACCUGACAACCUGUGAGUGAGUGGUGUGCGGUU
Molecule: non-coding RNA, 195 nt
Filed under: Agrilus planipennis (emerald ash borer)
Lineage: Eukaryota; Metazoa; Arthropoda; Insecta; Coleoptera; Buprestidae
Description: Eukaryotic large subunit ribosomal RNA
Rfam family: Eukaryotic large subunit ribosomal RNA
Source: Rfam by way of RNAcentral